GAAGCCCGCCAGACCACCGCUGGUGCAAUCUGGGAAACCAGGCACUGGAGGAACGUCCGGACUGCAUAGGGCAGCGUAGCAGCUAACGGCUGUCCACUGAAGGCAUUGCACGCAAGUGUGGUGCCCCAAGGUGAGGAUUAGAGCAACAGAGACGAGCCGAUUCAGUUCGGGUGAAACGGGCAAUCUCUACGCGCAGCAAUACCAAGUAGGCCAACGUUGACGGGGCCCCCGGAGUUGGCGGGUAGGUAGCAUCGAGCCGCUGGGUGACCAGCGGCCCAGAGUAAUGGUGGUCACACGAGGGGAAACUUUCGUGCACAGAAUCCGGCUUAUCGGUGGGCUUCACAC
RNAcentral lists this RNase P RNA (345 nucleotides) under Rhodoferax sp. Its description in RNAcentral is "RNase P RNA component class A". It matches the Rfam family "Bacterial RNase P class A". Rfam says of the family: Ribonuclease P (RNase P) is a ubiquitous endoribonuclease, found in archaea, bacteria and eukarya as well as chloroplasts and mitochondria. Its best characterised activity is the generation of mature 5'-ends of tRNAs by cleaving the 5'-leader elements of precursor-tRNAs. Cellular RNase Ps are ribonucleoproteins. Lineage: Bacteria; Pseudomonadati; Pseudomonadota; Betaproteobacteria; Burkholderiales; Comamonadaceae. The record is from RNAcentral.